UUAUUUGAAUGUCCCCUGUGUGUCAUGGAGCUAACAGCUAACACAUAACCCAUCACUCCGCCCAUUCCAAGUGUUUUUUUGAUGUGCUUUAUGCAUAUUAACUCAUUUAAUGUUCAUAAUGACCCUUCUGAGCACAUGAAAACCUCAGGGUGGAGAAGUUAUGCAAUUGCCUGAGGUCACACCGCUUGUCAACACCAGGGCAUGACAGAUUUCAAAUCCAUAUUAUAGUCUGACUCCUAAAUUGAUACUUUCUCUAUUGUGACACACUAUUAUCCAACCCUAUACUACGUUACUCCGUACCUUAUUCCAUGACUUUCAGCUAUCCUGGAGUGUGUACCCAGACAGGGAGCCUAGCUGUGUGUUCUAGAGCUCACUAAGUGGUUCUAGUACCAUUACUAUUAUGACACUACCUUUGGUCUAACUUUGGCAAAGUGGUCUAAGAGGGGAGCCCUGCUCUUGUGGAGGUCUCCCUCUCCGUGAUUCAGGGCCGGAAGUCCAUGUCCCGCCCCCAAGAUGUAGCUUGUGCUGCUUCAUCCUUCACUACUUCCUAUUGUUCCUCCCAGAGAAGUUCUGGAACACAGUACCAACAGUGGCAGCAUCACUGAGAACUUGGUGAUUCUAAUGCAAUGCUACACUUGGAGAACCAAGAGAGGGACCAGAGGCGCCUGCUGGAGUGGCAGUCCAGUCACAUCUCUUUCCAGGAGCCAGAUGGGCAGCCAAAGAGAGAAGCCUCCAGCUAUGUAGCAGACAAGUAGAGAAGGAAAGGUCCAUGAGCCUCCUUAUCACCCUGCAGCUGGCACAACAUCUGGACAACAGAACAAGGCAACAGCACAGAUACCUGCACCUCCCCAACCCCAACAUGCAUGUUUGUCCAUUUAGUGCUAAUUAUAGUAUUGGUUUGUAAUCCCUGCUAUAAAAAAAACUAUAGUCCCUCCCUCUACUUACUUGUUCUAAAUGACCUCUUUCAAAAGAUUCACUGCUU
This 982-nucleotide long non-coding RNA is filed under the name Vulpes vulpes (red fox). Its description in RNAcentral is "lncRNA (ENSVVUG00000019800.1)". The record is from RNAcentral. Lineage: Eukaryota; Metazoa; Chordata; Mammalia; Carnivora; Canidae.